GACGAACGCUGGCGGCGUGCCUAACACAUGCAAGUCGAACGGAAGCAAAGAUUUCGGUUUUUGCUUUAGUGGCGAACGGGUGAGUAACGCGUGAGGAACCUGCCUUUCAGUGGGGGACAACAGUUGGAAACGACUGCUAAUACCGCAUAAUACUUUUGAGUGGCAUCACUUAAAAGUCAAAGAUUUAUUGCUGAAAGAUGGCCUCGCGUCUGAUUAGCUAGUUGGUGGGUAACGGCCCACCAAGGCGACGAUCAGUAGCCGGUCUGAGAGGAUGAACGGCCACACUGGAACUGAGACACGGUCCAGACUCCUACGGAGGCAGCAGUGGGGAAUCUUCCGGCAAUGGGCGAAAGCCUGACGGAGCAACGCCGCGUGAGUGAUGACGGCCUUCGGGUUGUAAAGGCUCUGUGAUCGGGGACGAACGGUCCGUAAG
Molecule: ribosomal RNA, 433 nt
Filed under: uncultured bacterium
Lineage: Bacteria
Description: bacterial SSU rRNA
Rfam family: Bacterial small subunit ribosomal RNA
Source: RNAcentral